CAUGGCCUUGUGCCGGCGAUGGUUCAUUCAAAUUUCUGCCCUAUCAACUUUCGAUGGCAGGGUCUUGGCCUGCCAUGGUUACAACGGGUAACGGAGGGUUAGGGCUCGACCCCGGAGAAGGAGCCUGAGAAACGGCUACUACAUCCAAGGAAGGCAGCAGGCGCGCAAAUUACCCAAUGCCGACACGGCGAGAGUAGUGACAAUACAUACUGAUACAGGGCUCUUUUGGGUCUUGUAAUUGGAAUGAGUACAAUUUAAAUCCCUUAACGAGGAACAAUUGGAGGGCAAGUCUGGUAGCAUCUGCUGGUGCCAGAAAUAGUGAAGCCCUAUACAAAUUCACUAGUCGAACGCAUCCCUACGUGGCGGGUGGAUGCCGGCGAGACAACCUGGAUCGGGGAAGGCUACGGGUAUAUAUAUGCCUAUGCUAAUCCCGAGCGGAGCUACCCUGUAGCCCGUGUAGAGCGCGGAAAGGUGUCGGCCCUAUAAGAUUAUAGGGCUUAAGGUACGUGCCAGCCCCUAUAGAAAUAUAGGCUAGUUACUGAAGCGCCCGCCGCGUGAAGGUAGCUAGGUACUGCGUAAGCAGUAUUGUACAUAAAUAUAACGGCCAGCAGCCGCGGUAAUUCCAGCUCCAAUAGCGUAUAUUAAAGUUGUUGCAGUUAAAAAGCUCGUAGUUGAACCUUGGGCCUGGCUGGCCGGUCCGCCUCACCGCGUGCACUGGUUCGGCCGGGCCUUUCCCUCUGGGGAACCCCAUGCCCUUCACUGGGUGUGGCGGGGAACCAGGACUUUUACUGUGAAAAAAUUAGAGUGUUCAAAGCAGGCCUAUGCUCGAAUACAUCAGCAUGGAAUAAUAGAAUAGGACGUGCGGUUCUAUUUUGUUGGUUUCUAGGACCGCCGUAAUGAUUAAUAGGGACAGUCGGGGGCAUCAGUAUUCAAUUGUCAGAGGUGAAAUUCUUGGAUUUAUUGAAGACUAACUACUGCGAAAGCAUUUGCCAAGGAUGUUUUCAUUAAUCAGGAACGAAAGUUAGGGGAUCGAAGACGAUUUGAUCAGUGUAUUUGGUCGUCAAUAGUGAAAGCUAGUCCAGCGUGCCGGGCGGUACGCAGGGCGACACCGUCAAAUUGCGGGGACCUCCUGAGAGCCUCUACCACACCCUAUGGCUAGAAAUAGCGAUAGGUCGUUAUAGUGUAGAGGAUUGGACAAUCCGCAGCCAAGUCCGUACGGAUGCUACCCUGUAGUAUCUAGGAUGCAGUUCACAGACUAAAUGUCGGUGGGAGCCUUCGGGCCUCUAAAAUAUAGUCGAUCCGGCGCUGAAAGGCGGCGAAAGAGAUGCAGAUACCGUCGUAGUCUUAACCAUAAACUAUGCCGACUAGGGAUCGGACGAUGUUAUUUUUUGACUCGUUCGGCACCUUACGAGAAAUCAAAGUCUUUGGGUUCUGGGGGGAGUAUGGUCGCAAGGCUGAAACUUAAAGAAAUUGACGGAAGGGCACCACCAGGGGUAAACCAGAUUCCGCAGCGUCUCUGCCCCGAAAAGCGGCCUGUAUUUACAGGAAGGUGGUUCGCCUAUUGUACCUACCGCUAGUCGCUAUUGCAGCGGCGACAUCCCUAAAGUGCGGGAAACCCCUGAAACUGACAGCGACCAAACCUACCUAGCAAUAGGUAUGGUGGCCGGGCGUAACGAUCCCGGGUAUGGUAAUACUGCUGGCAGAUUGGGCAACUCGCAGCCAAGUCCCAUCGGUACGAUGGGAAAGGUUCAGAGACUAGAUAGGGGUGGGCCUACCCUAUAGCUACCCUGUAGCUAUGCGGAAGCCUAAGAUAUAGUCCGUCCACAGGCGAGAGCCAGCGUGGUAUACAUAAUAAUUCGGGAGCCUGCGGCUUAAUUUGACUCAACACGGGGAAACUCACCAGGUUAACGACAGCACAGUUACGUGUCUGGGCCUGGAAUAGUGAAUUGGAAUUGCUAGUGCUAGGUACAUCUACGUGGGGAAGCCCCCGAUUCGGGCGUAGAUGGGCUGUAUCUUACGGCUUUCACCUAGUGCGACACCAGCUGGUACAGGGGACGCCUCAGGCUAUUCACAUGCCUAGGCCAAUCCUGUGGCGAGUUCAGGUUGCGCUGAACCGUUGCAACGCGCGCAAAGCGGUGGGCUUCUUCGGAGGCUUAAGGUACGUGCUGAUCCUGCGGGAAACCGCAGCUCUCUUGACUAGGGCCGAAUAUCCAAAGCAAGAGGGGCAGGGCUGACUAAGCCCUGCGAACGUGGGAUUACCCCGCCAAACUACCCUGUAGCUACCCUGUAGCUACCCGGGAAAGUGCGGGGUAAUCUGGCGAAAAUGCCAGACACA
Molecule: ribosomal RNA, 2335 nt
Filed under: fungal sp.
Lineage: Eukaryota; Fungi
Description: bacterial SSU rRNA
Rfam family: Eukaryotic small subunit ribosomal RNA (bases 1-1538)
Source: RNAcentral